RNAcentral lists this ribosomal RNA (510 nucleotides) under uncultured delta proteobacterium. Its description in RNAcentral is "bacterial SSU rRNA". It matches the Rfam family "Bacterial small subunit ribosomal RNA", at positions 366 to 869 of the family's 1533-position model. Lineage: Bacteria; Deltaproteobacteria. The record is from RNAcentral.
GGGCAAUGGGCGAAAGCCUGACCCAGCCACGCCGCGUGUGUGAUGAAGGCUUCGGGUCGUAAAGCACUGUGGGGAGAGACGAAACAGCGCAUCAGGAAAUGGUUGCGCCUUGACGGUACCUCCUUAGCAAGCACCGGCUAACUCUGUGCCAGCAGCCGCGGUAAUACAGAGGGUGCAAACGUUGCUCGGAUUUACUGGGCGUAAAGCGCGUGUAGGCGGACUCGCAAGUCGGUUGUGAAAUCCCUGGGCUCAACCUAGGAACUGCAUCCGAAACUGCUUGUCUUGAGUAAUGGAGAGGGUGGCGGAAUUCCCGGUGUAGAGGUGAAAUUCGUAGAUAUCGGGAGGAACAUCAGUGGCGAAGGCGGCCACCUGGACAUUUACUGACGCUGAGACGCGAAAGCGUGGGGAGCAAACAGGAUUAGAUACCCUGGUAGUCCACGCCGUAAACGAUGAGAACUAGGUGCAGCGGAUAUUGACCUCUGCUGUGCCGURGUAACGCGUUAAGUUCUC